This is a long non-coding RNA of Sebastes umbrosus (honeycomb rockfish), 283 nucleotides long. RefSeq lists it as uncharacterized. NCBI's taxonomy places the organism in Eukaryota, Metazoa, Chordata, Actinopteri, Perciformes, Sebastidae. The record is from RefSeq and is a predicted model, not a curated record. The transcript has 3 exons.
GGUCUCAGAGCGAGCAGCCGACGCGUUACGCAGGAAGAAGUUCCUGUUGAGGUGGACGUUCCUCUGACCGCGGUACUAACAGAGAGACAUCAGGAGAGAUGUCAGGUGAGACAUCGGGAGAGACACCAGGAGAGAUGUCGGGUGAGACAUCAGGAGAAAGACCAGGUGAGACACCAGGUGAGACAUCAGGAGAAAGACCAGGUGAGACAUCAGGAGAAAGACCAGGUGAGACACCAGGUGAAACACCAGGUGAGACAUCAGGAGAAAGACCAGGUGAGACACC